AGAGCGAACGCUGGCGGCGUGCUUAACACAUGCAAGUCGAACGCGCAGCAUUCUGUAGCAAUACAGAUUGUGGGCGCGUGGCGAACGGGUGCGUAACACGUGGAUAACCUUCCUUCAGGUGGGGAAUAACCCAGUGAAAAUUGGGCUAAUACCGCAUAACAUGACGAUGGCUCAUGCCGUUGUCUUCAAAGGCGCAAGUCGCCAGAAGAGGGAUCCGCGGCCGAUUAGCUAGUUGGCGAGGUAAUGGCUCACCAAGGCAUUGAUCGGUAGCCGGACUGAGAGGUUGGCCGGCCACACUGGAACUGAGACACGGUCCAGACUCCUACGGGAGGCAGCAGUGGGGAAUCUUGCACAAUGGACGAAAGUCUGAUGCAGCAACGCCGCGUGGGGAUGAAGCUUUCGGAGUGUAAACCCCUUUCGACCCGGAAGAAAGCCGCAAGGGUUUGACGGUACGGGUAUAAGAAGCCCGGCUAACUACGCGCCAGCAGCCGCGGUAA
RNAcentral lists this ribosomal RNA (497 nucleotides) under uncultured bacterium. RNAcentral's name for it is "SSU rRNA". It matches the Rfam family "Bacterial small subunit ribosomal RNA", at positions 26 to 523 of the family's 1533-position model. The record is from RNAcentral.